This 515-nucleotide ribosomal RNA is filed under the name uncultured bacterium. RNAcentral describes it as "bacterial SSU rRNA". It matches the Rfam family "Bacterial small subunit ribosomal RNA", at positions 772 to 1280 of the family's 1533-position model. The record is from RNAcentral.
ACUAAAUAGAUACCCUGGUAGUCCGCACCGUAAACGAUGAUCACUUGGUGUUGGAGGUAUUGACCCCUUCAGUGCCGAAAGCUAAACGCGUUAAGUGCUCCGCCUGGGAAGUACGGUCGCAAGAUUAAAACUCAAAGAAAUUGACGGGGGCCCGCACAAGCAGUGGAGCAUGUGGUUCAAUUCGAUGCAACGCGAAGAACCUUACCUGGGUUUGAAGUGCUAGUGAAUGUGGUAGAGAUAUCACAGGCCUUCGGGACGACUAGUAUCAGGUGCUGCAUGGCUGUCGUCAGCUCGUGUCGUGAGAUGUUGGGUUUAAGUCCCAUAACGAGCGCAACCCCUACUGUUUAGUUGCCAGCAUUAAGUUGGGCACUCUAAACAGACUGCCGGCGUUAAGCCGGAGGAAGGCGGGGAGUGACGUCAAGUCCUCAUGGCCGUUUAUGUCCAGGGCGUACACACGUGCUACAAUGGUCGGUACAAAGGGAUGCAAGAUCGCGAGAUGGAGCAAAUCCCAAAAA